RNAcentral lists this ribosomal RNA (550 nucleotides) under uncultured bacterium. RNAcentral's name for it is "bacterial SSU rRNA". It matches the Rfam family "Bacterial small subunit ribosomal RNA", at positions 355 to 896 of the family's 1533-position model. The record is from RNAcentral.
UAGGGAAUCUUCCGCAAUGGGCGAAAGCCUGACGGAGCAACGCCGCGUGAGUGAUGAAGGUCUUCGGAUCGUAAAACUCUGUUAUUAGGGAAGAACAUAUGUGUAAGUAACUGUGCACAUCUUGACGGUACCUAAUCAGAAAGCCACGGCUAACUACGUGCCAGCAGCCGCGGUAAUACGUAGGUGGCAAGCGUUAUCCGGAAUUAUUGGGCGUAAAGCGCGCGCAGGUGGUUUAAUAAGUCUGAUGUGAAAGCCCACGGCUCAACCGUGGAGGGUCAUUGGAAACUGUUAAACUUGAGUGCAGGAGAGAAAAGUGGAAUUCCUAGUGUAGCGGUGAAAUGCGUAGAGAUUAGGAGGAACACCAGUGGCGAAGGCGGCUUUUUGGCCUGUAACUGAUACUGAGGCGCGAAAGCGUGGGGAGCAAACAGGAUUAGAUACCCUGGUAGUCCACGCCGUAAACGAUGAGUGCUAAGUGUUGGGAGGUUUCCGCCUCUCAGUGCUGCAGCUAACGCAUUAAGCACUCCGCCUGGGGAGUACGACCGCAAGGUUG